UGAAUUAGCCCUGAAAAUGGAUGGCGCUUAAGCGGGUGGCCGACACCACGCCGUGUGACCGAUUAUAUGAAUUUUUUUUUGUUUGUUGUGUUUUGAUGUCACAUGAGUAGGAGGGCGUGGCGGGCGUGGCGAAGCAUGGGUGCGAACCUGUGUGGAACGGUCCGCUAGUGCAGAUUUUGGUGGUAGUAGCAAGUAUUCAAGCGAGAACCUUGAAGGGCGAAGCGGGGAAGGGUUCCACGCGAACAUUGAUUGGGCGUGGGUGAGUUGUUCCUAAGCCGAGUGGCAAUUGCCAAGUAUUGGCGAAAGGGAAGCGGGUUGAAAUUCCCGCACAUGGAUGUGGAGCGCGGUGACGCGGAAUGGGGCGAACACGCUGGCGACGGCGCUAGGCAGAGUUGUUUUUUUUGUUUGACCGAGUGUACGGGCUGUGUGGAAUCCGCUUGUUGGGAGAAACACGCUUGUACGGGCAGAGGGCCGGGGCUUUUCCGGGGUUUAGGUUGCCGUUGACGGCCCUUGAAACUUUGCCUGCUGAAAGUAUUUUUUUUCCCCUUUUUUUUUUGAGGGGAAAAAGGUAUAAAGAUCCACGCCAUGGCGUACCGAUCACCGCAUCAGGUCCCCAAGGUGAACAGCCUCUGCUCGAUAUGAACAAUGCAGGUAAGGGAAGUCGGCAAAUUGGACCCGUAACUUUGGGAAAAGGGUUGGCUCUAGUGCUGCGUGGGAGAGGUUGUCCGUGUUUUGUGGGGGCGGAGUAGAGGCUACUUGGCUCGGAACCUAGGCAACUGGGGGCUGUUCUGGGAGGCCUUUGCACUGUUUCCGCCACGGACGACGCCCACGGCAUGCAGCAGACUAGAACUGCAACGGGCAAAGGGAAUCCGACUG
This 876-nucleotide ribosomal RNA is filed under the name Polystrata fosliei. Its description in RNAcentral is "partial 26S rRNA". It matches the Rfam family "Eukaryotic large subunit ribosomal RNA", at positions 1302 to 2140 of the family's 3401-position model. Lineage: Eukaryota; Rhodophyta; Florideophyceae; Peyssonneliales; Peyssonneliaceae. The record is from RNAcentral.